AGUGAACGCUGGCGGUAGGCCUAACACAUGCAAGUCGAACGGCAGCACAGUAAGAGCUUGCUCUUACGGGUGGCGAGUGGCGGACGGGUGAGGAAUACAUCGGAAUCUACUUUUUCGUGGGGGAUAACGUAGGGAAACUUACGCUAAUACCGCAUACGACCUACGGGUGAAAGCAGGGGAUCUUCGGACCUUGCGCGAUUGAAUGAUCCGAUGUCGGAUUAGCUAGUUGGCGGGGUAAAGGCCCACCAAGGCGACGAUCCGUAGCUGGUCUGAGAGGAUGAUCAGCCACACUGGAACUGAGACACGGUCCAGACUACUACGGGAGGAAGCAGUGGGGAAUAUUGGACAAUGGGCGCAAGCAUGAUCCAGCCAUACCGCGUGGGUGAAGAAGGCAUUCGGGUUGUAAAGCCCUUUUGUUGGGAAAGAAAAGCAGCAGGUUAAUACCCCGCUGUUCUGACGGUACCCAAAGAAUAAGCACCGGCUAACUUCGUG
RNAcentral lists this ribosomal RNA (492 nucleotides) under uncultured bacterium. RNAcentral describes it as "partial 16S ribosomal RNA". It matches the Rfam family "Bacterial small subunit ribosomal RNA", at positions 29 to 507 of the family's 1533-position model. The record is from RNAcentral.